This 253-nucleotide ribosomal RNA is filed under the name uncultured bacterium. RNAcentral's name for it is "partial 16S ribosomal RNA". It matches the Rfam family "Bacterial small subunit ribosomal RNA", at positions 524 to 776 of the family's 1533-position model. The record is from RNAcentral.
UACGUAGGGGGCAAGCGUUGUCCGGAAUCAUUGGGCGUAAAGAGCGUGUAGGCGGCCAGAUAAGUCCGCUGUGAAAUCUCGAGGCUCAACCUCGAGACGCCGAUGGAAACCAUCUGACUAGAGUCCGGAAGAGGAGAGUGGAAUUCCUGGUGUAGCGGUGAAAUGCGCAGAUAUCAGGAAGAACACCCGUGGCUAAGGCGGCUCUCUAGUACGGUACUGACGCUGAGACGCGAAAGCGUGGGGAGCGAACAGG